GGGCGUAAAGCGUACGCAGGCGGUUGAUUAAGCGAGAUGUGAAAGCCCCGGGCUCAACCUGGGAACUGCAUUUCGAACUGGUCAACUAGAGUGUGAUAGAGGGUGGUAGAAUUUCAGGUGUAGCGGUGAAAUGCGUAGAGAUCUGAAGGAAUACCGAUGGCGAAGGCAGCCACCUGGGUCAACACUGACGCUCAUGUACGAAAGCGUGGGGAGCAAACAGGAUUAGAUAC
This 230-nucleotide ribosomal RNA is filed under the name Pseudoalteromonas sp. RNAcentral's name for it is "partial 16S ribosomal RNA". It matches the Rfam family "Bacterial small subunit ribosomal RNA", at positions 556 to 785 of the family's 1533-position model. Lineage: Bacteria; Pseudomonadati; Pseudomonadota; Gammaproteobacteria; Alteromonadales; Pseudoalteromonadaceae. The record is from RNAcentral.